AGCCUCGCCCCUGCCCACCGGCUCACGCGGGACGUGUGGGCGCCAGAAUGGGCCGGGCCUAAGGCUCCUGCCAGGGACGUCAAGAGGCUCAGGGACUGCAAAGACGUCUGGGGACGCAGUUGGCGUCAGCCACACGCUCCGGGCCGCUCCGGGCCAAGUUCCAUAAUAUGGGCAUCUUCUGACACAUGAUAGGGAGGCGCAAACAGACCUCCAUUAAGAUAAUUGUUAUUUAUGAACCAAUUUCUACUGCAGAGAUGGGGUGAUUGAACAUCCUAUGGUGGUUGUUUUCUGGACUGGUGGUAACUUUGUGAGUUCUGAAAAGCCCAGAGGUCUUCUGUCUGUGGAGUGGCAGUGGCUGAAUUAGAUGGGCCACUGCAAAGAUCAAGUAUGGCUGUUUGAGAAGAUAGUACCAAGUUGAAAUGUGAAAUACCUAAUUAGCAUUAUUGCUCAACUGCUUUACUUUUAAGUCUUUGAUGAGGCUUAAAAUAUUAGCCUCCUGACCAACUAUAACUGUAAUUAUAAGUUAAAUUUCUCAAUAUUGUUCUAAUCAUUACAUUUACAUUCAUACAUUCUGUAAUGUAUACUAUGAUUCUAUGUUUAGCAUCUUACAUUGAAUACUGCUUUUGCACUUUCCCCUCUUUAGAGAGAUCAUAGACUUAAGCCAAAAAAUAAUAUUGUCCUCAGGACUCUGGAGUAGGGAUUUAAUGAUUAAAUGAAUGUGAAAAUAGGGCCUGAUUUCCCUAAUUAGGGGAAUACUUUCCUAGCUCCAAACUGGUUCUAUAAAAUGAAAAUGCUGAGUACAGGGCGGUGAGUUGUAUAGAACUCUACCCUUACAAGAUCUUGUAAUGGUACCUUUCUGUUAGAUAUCUAUAUAUCUAUAUCUUCUAUAUCUAUUCCACCUAAAGUUAAUGUAUCAAAGUAUCUCUAUAUAUGCACAUCUAUAUGUAGACAUAGUCGUUGAUGUUUUUAUUUAUAUAUAUGGUCUUUUUUUGGUCAUUUACCAAAAUCUACUUAUUGACUUCUCAAACAUUCUUUAAGGGUACAAUCUACUCAUGUGUAAACAAUUUUCAUAAAGAUUUUAUAGAUAUGGGAAAUUAAACAUGACCUCAAAACUCAAUGUCAUGGUAUCAUAACCAAUUUAAAUUGUCAUUAACUGGCUUGGUAUUGACCUGUUUGCCAACUGGCAAUAACAAAUCCAAAAAUCAUUACACUCUCUCUUUUAUAGAUGUUUUAAGUUGUUCAUUCUCCUUUUGUUAUAUCUUAGACUAUUUUAUAACAUUCUCUUUUGUUCAAGUCUAUUUUUCUGCUACUUUGUCCCAUUUAUCAGAUUGGAAUAUAUGAUUCAUUUAUGAAGUUACAACUUGUACAAAGUAUUUUAAAUAUUAGAUUAGUCCUUUUACAAUCUCACUCUUGGAAGAAAACAAAAUGUUUUUCAAUUAAAAAAAUAAUUCUGGCUGUAUUCUUAGGUAUUAUGUAUUCUUAGUUUAAUGCACCAGAAAUUUUGUUAAACUCCAAACUAUAUGAUGACAUAUUUUUGUGCUUAUCAAUCAGAAUGCAAAAAUUUUAUUAGCAUUAUUUCUCACUAUAUUUGUACCUGAAGAGAUUACUCCCAUUCAUUAAAACUAUCAGUAAUAAGAUAGGAUGUGUGCUUGAAAUAUUAUACUAGUCACUACCAUAGAAAUAAAUUUAGAUACAUUAUAUGUUGAUAUUUACUUGAUUUAGUUUAUUCCAAAUACAUGUUUCAAAGGUCAGUGAAGACUAAGAAAAUAAAAGAAUUUGGAUUUUUUCAAAACUUUAAAAUUUUAUUUCCAAUUAUAAAUCCAAACAAAAAUUUGACAGAUUUGUUUAAUUAUAGAUGUGUUAGGAGAGUGGAAAAAAUGUGUUUGUGGUAUACAAAAUUUAAGGUGUUCUUUAUCCCAGAUACUUACUGGAUCAAAACAAAUGCUGCCAGUUAUGUUCUAUGCAAAAUCUAAAAGCUGAAUGAUAAAAUGGUACUUUUACUCAUAGAAAUGUCUUCUUUAAAUGAAAGGUCUCCUUUAAGUGGCAUUUCAAUAACAUAAAACCAAUUUCAAAUUGAUUUUAAUCAGCCUACACUUGUUAAAGGAAAAUUACAAGGCAAAGAAAUGUAGAUUAGCUGCUGUUGAAGGAAUUGUGGGUAUAUUUUCCUUUGAUUUAAGAGAAGAAGAAAAUAUCAUGAAAGAACCACUUAAAUAAUUUCAUGCUUUAAAGUACAUAAUUAUGAAGCAAAAGAGAGUAGAAAUGCCAGAGGCAUAUAUGUAUAUGAUGAGACCAUACCCUGGCCUUAACAGAUGGAAGACAAAUAAGAUUUGACAACCAGUCUUUAAUAUAUUUUUAUUUUGCACUUCUUGUCCUGAAGUUACACAUGAAUUAAAAAUAGUAGUUUGAAAUAGAGUUCAUGCAGUUUAAUAAGAACAUUUAGCCAACAUCCCUUUUCUCCCCAACUGGAAAGCACACUGAAGACUGAGCUCUAUUGCUGCUCCACUAGACAUGUAAGCUUAAGUAAACUAUUUAAUUUCUCAGAGCUGUAGUUUACUCUUCUAUAAAAUAAGAAUAGUAAUAAAUGUCCUUAGUACUCCACAGGAUUGUUUUAAGGAUUAAGAGCUAAAACUAACAGUUUUUGCAUGAAGGACAAGUGAUGUGACAUAUACUCUCAAAUCAACUUCUUAAAACAAAUUCACUGGGGGUGGCUAGGUGGCGCAGUGGAUAAAGCACUGGCCCUGGA
Dromiciops gliroides (monito del monte) is the source of this 2743-nucleotide long non-coding RNA. RefSeq lists it as uncharacterized. The transcript is spliced from 3 exons. Lineage: Eukaryota; Metazoa; Chordata; Mammalia; Microbiotheria; Microbiotheriidae. The record is from RefSeq and is a predicted model, not a curated record.